AGUGAACGCUGGCGGUAGGCCUAACACAUGCAAGUCGAACGGCAGCACAGUAAGAGCUUGCUCUUACGGGUGGCGAGUGGCGGACGGGUGAGGAAUACAUCGGAAUCUACUUUUUCGUGGGGGAUAACGUAGGGAAACUUACGCUAAUACCGCAUACGACCUACGGGUGAAAGCAGGGGAUCUUCGGACCUUGCGCGAGUGAAUGAGCCGAUGUCGGAUUAGCUAGUUGGCGGGGUAAAGGCCCACCAAGGCGACGAUCCGUAGCUGGUCUGAGAGGAUGAUCAGACACACUGGAACAGAGACACGGUGCAGACUCCUACGGGAGGCAGCAGUGGGGAAUAUUGGACAAUGGGGGAAAGCCUGAUCCAGCCAUACCGCGUGGGUGAAGAAGGCCUUCGGGUUGUAAAGCCCUUUUGUUGGGAAAGAAAAGCAGCAGGUUAAUACCCCGCUGUUCUGACGGUACCCAAAGAAUAAGCACCGGCUAACUUCGUG
RNAcentral lists this ribosomal RNA (492 nucleotides) under uncultured bacterium. RNAcentral describes it as "partial 16S ribosomal RNA". It matches the Rfam family "Bacterial small subunit ribosomal RNA", at positions 29 to 507 of the family's 1533-position model. The record is from RNAcentral.